GAUGAACGCUGGCGGCGUGCCUAAUACAUGCAAGUCGAGCGAACAGACGAGGAGCUUGCUCCUCUCACGUGAGCGGCGGACGGGUGAGUAACACGUGAAUAACCUACCUAUAAGCCUGGGAUAACUUCGGGAAACCGGAGCUAAUACCGGAUAAUAUAUUGAAUCGCAUGGCUCAUUCGUGAAAGACGGUUUUGCUGCCCCGUAUAGAUGGAUCCCCGCCUCUUUGGCUAGUUGGUAAGGUACGGGCUUACCAAGGCAACGAUGCGUAGCCGACGUGGGAGGUGGUUCGGCCACACGGGAACGGGGCAAGGGUCCAGAUUCCUACGGAAGGCGGCAGUGGGGAAUCUUCGGCAAUGGGGGAAAGCCUGACGGAGAAACGCCGGGUGGUUGAGGAGGGUCUCCGGAUCGUAAAACUCUGUUAUUAGGGAGGAACAAAUGUGUAAUGAACUGUGCACGUCUUGACGGUACCUAAUCAGAAAGCCACGGCUAACUACGUG
Molecule: ribosomal RNA, 497 nt
Filed under: uncultured bacterium
Lineage: Bacteria
Description: partial 16S ribosomal RNA
Rfam family: Bacterial small subunit ribosomal RNA
Source: RNAcentral